GACGGAGGGUGCUAGCGUUGUUCGGAAUCACUGGGCGUAAAGGGCGCGUAGGCGGCCGCGGUAGUCGGGUGUGAAAGCCCGGGGCUCAACCCCGGAACGGCACCCGAUACUCCGCGGCUCGAGGCCGGGAGAGGGUGGUGGAAUACCCAGUGUAGAGGUGAAAUUCGUAGAUAUUGGGUGGAACACCGGUGGCGAAAGCGGCCACCUGGCCCGGUCCUGACGCUGAGGCGCGAAAGCGUGGGGAGCAAACAGG
This 253-nucleotide ribosomal RNA is filed under the name uncultured bacterium. Its description in RNAcentral is "partial 16S ribosomal RNA". It matches the Rfam family "Bacterial small subunit ribosomal RNA", at positions 524 to 776 of the family's 1533-position model. The record is from RNAcentral.